CCUUUCCGGAGCGCGGGCGCGCGGUGGCGGGAAUUUCGCCUGUUUGCUGUUUAGACCCCAGAGAUUCCUGGUGGUGGUCUGGGUCACAGGAGGCAGGUUUCGGGAGCUGGAAGUGUGAGCAGGUACGACAGGCACCGCGGGAAUCUCUUCACACCUUCUCUUUGGAGCCCUUAAUGAUACGACGAACCCCAAAUGUUUCAGAACAUGAAGUAAACAAUGGAGAACUGUUUUGCUGCAUCGACUUUCCUGACUGACAGCUUAGAGCUGGAACUGGGGACGGAAUGGUGCAAACCUCCUUACUUUUCUUGUGCUGUUGACAACAGAGGAGGAGGAAAACAUUUUUCUGGAGAAUCCUACCUCUGCAGCGGAGCCCUUAAGCGAUUGAUUUUGAAUCUUGACCCUUUACCAACUAAUUUUGAAGAAGAUACCUUGGAAAUAUUUGGCAUUCAGUGGGUUACUGAAACAGCAUUAGUGAAUUCAUCUAGAGAACUCUUUCAUUUAUUCAGGCAACAACUGUACAACUUGGAAACCUUGUUACAGUCCAGUUGUGAUUUUGGGAAGGUAUCAACUCUACACUGCAAAGCAGACAAUAUUAGACAGCAGUGUGUACUAUUUCUCCAUUAUGUUAAAGUUUUCAUCUUCAGGUAUCUGAAAGUACAGAAUGCUGAGAGUCAUGUUCCUGUCCAUCCUUAUGAGGCUUUGGAAGCUCAACUUCCCUCAGUGUUGAUUGAUGAGCUUCAUGGAUUACUCUUGUAUAUUGGACACCUAUCUGAACUUCCCAGUGUUAAUACAGGAGCAUUUGUAAAUCAAAACCAGAUUAAGGUUUGACUUGUUUCAUUUGAUUUUUAAAUUACCAGCUUUUUCUCCCCACAAGGAAUAUUCAUUCAAGAAGGAGAGCAAUUAGUCAGAAUUACAGCUCUGGAACCUGACUGCCUGAGUUGAAAUUCUUGCCCCCCAUCCUCCUUUCAUUAAUUAUGUGCUUUUGGGCAAAUGACACCUCAGCCUCCCCAUCUGUUUAAUUCUUAUAACUUACUAGAAUCAUUGGAUGAAUUAAAUAAAUUCAUAUACAUGAAGUUAUUAAAACAUAGUAGUCAUUUAAUCAGUAGCUAUUCUCUUGAUUUAUGACAGUAUAAAUGUCUGAAAAUUUUAAAGCAAAUGAAAUAAUCUUUAUUUUCUAAAAUUUUUAUCAUAUAUUACAAUAAGAUUCAAGAUCAGCUUAUAAAAAAACUUUCAAGACCACAUCAUUAUGUGUAUUCUGACUUUUGAGGCCUUUUUGGAAUGUGAUUAAGAUUGUUUUGACUGUGCUCUUUUUUUCCUACCUGUGGUAAUCAUUCCCUCUGAAGUUUGGUUUUUAAAAAUUUAUAUUGUUACCAUGCCUAGCUUAUAGGUAAGUAAUAGAUUCUGCCUAUGAAGAUGGGAGCUUAUAUGAAUAACAAAUUAUGGUAAUUCACAGUGAGAUUCCCUGAAGUCUCAGCCCCUUUCAUUAUAUUUGACUUUACCAUUUUGAAUAAUAUUUACUCUUUAUGAACAUAUCUUUGUUAAAAUAUAAAAACAGCUGAGCAUGGUAGCUCCUGCCUGUAAUCCCAACACUUUGGGUGGCUGAGGCAGAAGGAUUGCUUGAAUCUAGGAUUUGAGACAAGCUUGGGCAACAUAGCGACACCCCAUCUCUACAAAAAAUUAAAAAGUUAGUCCAGUGUGGUGGCACAUACCUUGUAGUCCUGGCUACUCAGGAGGUUCAGGUGGGAGGAUCCGUUGAACUCAGGAGGUCGAGGCUGUGGUGAGACAUGAUUGCACCACUGCAUUCCAGCCUGGAUGACAGAGCAAGACCCUAUCUCAAGAUAUAAAAUAAGUAGAAUUAAAUGUUUACAUAUUUCUGUGAAAUGAAGCAGAAACAAGUUGACUUUUUCAUCAGAGAUCAAUAUAUGUAAUAAUAAAGCAAAGUUGUAACUGAAUUUACAAGUUAAUAUAUCUAAUCAAUAGAAAACAGAUAAUGGCUUUUAAUUAUGUCAUUUAAUAAAAAGAUUCAUGAGUAGAUUGUUGAGGGAGGGAUAUUUUCCUUACUAGUUUCUGUAAGUUGGACUGGUUUUUAUUUUCUAGUUAUCCAUCAAAUACGUAAGAAAUAAAAAUGAAUAAUUUAUAUAGCAGCAGAAAUAAAAAUUUGUGCACUAGGGUCCUCAAACUAGGUUUUGCCUUUCAUAGGCUUUUUAAUUAGGCAGACUUGAAAACAUAGGUUAUUUGAAGCUCAGAAGACUAAAUUUUUAAAGCAGGGGAACUUUACAGUCUUCAAAAAAUAAAAAAUCACACACUAAAAUACUGUUCUUUUCUGAAACAAAAAAGCAUAAUAAAAUAAAAAGCAUCUUUCAAGACUAUAUAUUUGUUAUAACAGUCUUGUAUGUGAAAUGUCUUGUUUUAAUUGGUAUUUCCAGUUGAGCUUCUUUUAUUAUUUUUUAGGAGCUCUCUAGAUAUAUAUUAGUUGUUGGGAAUUAUGUAUUGCAAAUAUUUUAUUUACUUUUUCAUCAAGUAAGCUGACUUUCUAGGUCGAUUGGAAUUUUUAGAUAGUUAUAUUUUUCCAUUUUUUGUUUUAUCUAUGCUGUUAAAAUAUUUUGAUUGUUGCUUUUAUUUCUUUAAUUCAUGUUAUUUUUAAAUAUGCAGCGAGGUGAGAAGUCUAACUUUGGUUUCUUGCAAAGUUAAAAAUCUUAUUUUUUAUUGAAUGACCCAUACUUUUCCCAUUGAUUUGAGAUGCCACAUAAAUUUAUUUCUGUCUUCUCUGUUCUUGUUGUUUGUUUUCUAUUUCUGUCCCAAUAUUGUUUUGUCAGUGUAGCAUUUUAUUUUGUUUGUAUACCUAAUAAGGCAGGUCUACUCUUCAUCAUUCUUUCUAUUUGUUUUAAUGGAACAUGUUAUGUCAUUGUAUUUAUUUUUAUAGUGUUGCUAAAUGCUGACAGGAGGAAGGUUAUUAAUAACCCAGUAUAACACAGUACUUGAAAGUGCUGGGUUUUGACUCAGGUAGAAUUGAGUUUGAAUACUAAUACAUGAAUUGAGAGGUAAAUUUUUUCACCUCUUUUAACUUCUGUUUCUUAAUGAGAUGACAAUAAUGUCUACAUGACAGUCAGUCUAAAGUUCUUUUGCUAAAAUAUUUUAUAGGAGUUCCUGGGUACUCAUACAUUAAAAAAAAUUCCUAGCUAAAUUCUAAAACAAAAUUAUGAAAAUACGUGUUAAAAAAUUCUUUUACUGCCUUGCAGCUAUAGUAGAAUCAGAGGUUGGUUGGAAGGUACCUUUACUAUACAAGUCUAUUCAGCAGCCCCAAGGUGGGUUUGUCUUAAACCAACAGAUGAAAAUAUUUCCUGCUUUCAAAGAUCUUCAGUGAAAGAAUCCUCUAAUGAACAAGACAGAGGUUUUCCCUGAGCUUUUGAAUAGUGGUAGGUUAAUUGGUUCUUUAUCCUUGUGUUUGUGGAGGAGUAUUGUGACAUGCUAUGAAAUACCUAGUAAAAUAUUAAUGAAUUCUCAAUCACAGUUGAUAAUGUCAUCCACAGCUUUUUCCACCAUCAUGGCAUUUAUUACAUCUCCACUUGGAUAUACAUUGGCUGGUGCUAGAAAUUCUUUACAUGCUGGGUGAAAAAUUGAAACAAGUUGUAUAUGGUCAUCAGUUUAUGAAUCUGGCAAGUGACAAUUUAACCAAUGUCAGCCUACUUGAAGAACAUUGUGAAACUCUCCUUUGUGAUUUAAUAAGCCUGUCACUCAACAGGUAUGACAAGGUAAUGCUUUUAAGAGUUUGUUUGUAUUUUUGAGACUUAAAGACGGUAUUCAGUCCUUAAUGCAUGUCAUUUAAUCUGUAAGAAUUUAAUCUAAAAUGGUAUGUAUGUUCUAAUUUUAUAUUUAGUUGCUAUUAUCUGGGAGCUGAAAGGGAAAACAAUUUUUAUUUAAACAUCUAAAAGAGGCUGGCAUUGGUAUUUUAGAGGUUUUCUUUUUUCUUUUUCUUUUUUUUUUUUUUAAGAAAAAUAGCCUUUUCUAUUUUGACAAAAAUAAAUAAAUAAAAAUGAUGUUUACUGAAAUCAUUGGAAGCCUAAUUUCUAUCCAAAUAGUAGAGGCCAGCUCUUUAAUAAUGUAUUGUAUUGCUGUUAUGUAAUAAUAAAAUAAAUGCUUACUUAAAGUUACUUCACACAUUUUAAGAGAGGAUUUUCUUGCUUGUUUUCAUAAAAGGUCUCGCAUCUGGGUAAAAUUAUGUGUUUUUAUUAAAUUGUGUUUAUCAUAGAGUGUUUAAUGGAGACAGUGAUUUAAAGGUGCUACAGAACAUGUUCAUUUUUAAGUAGUAUAAAUGUUUAGAGUAUUAUCUGUUAUUUUAGAUUACAAGCAUAAAGACUGUUUUUGGGAAAUCAAGGUUGAGGGAAAAGGAGUUUUAUAAUUUUUCAAAAUUUAGAUUUUUUUAGGCAUUGUCCAUAUUUUUACAAUUUAGUGUGUAUAUGUAUUAGUGGAUUAACCAGAUAUGAUAGACUGAUAACUUUUAAAUAUUUAUUUAUUUAUUUUUGAUAAUUGACAAAAUUAUAUAUAUUUAUCAUAUACAUCAUGUUUUGGUAUGUGUAUACAGUGUAGAAUGGCUAAAUAUAGCUAAUUAACAUGAAUUAUCUCACAUUCUUAUUUUUUGUGUGAGAACACUUAAAAUCUAUGCUUUUAGUGAUUUUCAAGAAUACAAUAUAGUACAUUGUUUUUAACUAUAGUCAUCAUGUUGAGCUUAUUCCUCUUAUCUAACUGAAAUUUUGUAUGCUUUGAUCAACAUCUACCCCGCCUCCCUCCUAAUCCUCCUCACAGCCCUUGGUAAGGAUCAUCCUACUGUGCUUCUAUGAGUUCAGCUUUUUUGGAUUCCACAUAUAAGUGAGAUUAUGUGUUACUUGUCUUUCUGUGCCUGGCUUAUUUCACUUAAUAUAGUGUCCUCCAGGUUCAUCCAUAUUGUUGCAGAUGACAGUAUUUCCAUCUUCUCAAGGCUGAAUAGUAGGGUCAUACACUGUGUAACAAAGUUUUAGUCAGUGACAGACCACAUAUACAAGGUGGCUAUACCACAUAGCCUAGGUGUGCAGUAGUAGGCUGAAAAAGUUUAAGUACAAUAAAUCAUGUUAGCCUAAAGACGUGCUUCUCAGAACGUGUCCUGCUGUUAAGUGACACGUGACUAUAUUCCAUUGUGUAUAGAAACCACAUUUUCUUUAUGCAUUCAUCUGUUGAUGGACAGUUUGGUUGAUUCCAUGUCUUGGCUCUUGUAAAUAAUGCUGCAGUGAACAUGGGAAUGGAGCUAUCUCUUGAACAUACUAAUUUCAUUUUCUUUGCAAAUAUACCUAGUAGGAUUGCUGGAUCAUGUGGUAGUUCUAUUUUUAAUUUUGUGAGGAAUUUGCGUACUGUAUUACAUGAUGGCUGUACCAAUUUACAUUCUCACCAAACUGUGCAAGGGUUUUCUCGUCACCACUUCCUCUCUGGUGCUUAUUAUCUUUUGUCUUUUUGGUAAUAGCCAUUAUAGCAGGUUUGAGGUGAUAUCUCAUAAAGUUUUAAUUUGCAUUUCCAUAAUGAGUAGUGACAUUGAGCAUUUUUCAUGUACUGCUUGCCCAUUUGUAUGUCUUCUUUUAAGAAAUGUCAGCUAGGCGUGGUGGCUCACGCCUGUAAUCCCAGCACUUUGGGAGGCCGAGGCAGGCAGAUGACAAAGUCAGGAGAUCGAGACCAUCCUGGUUAACAUAGUGAAACCUGUCUCUACUAAAAAUACAAAAAAUUAGCCGGGCAUGGUGGUGCAUGCGUGUAGUCCCAGCUACUUGGGAGGCUGAGGCGGGAGAAUUGCUUGAACCUGGGAGGUGCAGAUUGCAGUGAGCCGAUAUUGUGCCACUGCACUCCUGCCUGGCAACAGAGCAAGACUCUGUCUCAAAAAAAAAAA
Molecule: small RNA, 5905 nt
Filed under: Pongo abelii (Sumatran orangutan)
Lineage: Eukaryota; Metazoa; Chordata; Mammalia; Primates; Hominidae
Description: retained intron
Source: RNAcentral